AGAGUGUAUGAGCAUCGCGUGCGGAUGUAACUUACCCUCAGCGAGAAGAAGUGUUGUAGUCUAACUAACCGCAGCUAUUUGACGUUAUCCGCAGAAGAAGCACCUGCUUACCUACGAUGCCUGCAGCGCGGUAAUACGGAGGGAUGCUAUGCGUUAAUCGUAAAUAACUGGACCGUAAAGCGCACGCAGUCGGUCGGUCAACGUCGGAUAUAGAAAUCCGCUGUGCUCAACCGUGGGCAGCUGCACUCCGAGAGCUGGCAUGCUAGUAGUCUUGUAGAGGGGGGUAGAAUUCCCAGGUGCAGCGGUGAAAUGCGUAGAGAUCUGGAGGAAUACCGGUGGCGAAGGUGGCCCCCUGGACAAACACUGACGCUCAGGUGCGAAAGCGUGGGGAGCAAACAGGAUUAGAUACCCUGGUAGUGCACGCCGUAAACGAUGUCGAUUUGGAGGUUGUGCCCUUGAGGUGUGGCUUCCGGAGAUAACGCGUUAAAUCGACCGCCUGGGGAGUACGGCCGCAAGGUUAAAACUCAAAUGAAUUGACGGGGGCCCGCACAAGCGGUGGAGCAUGUGGUUUAAUUCGAUGCAACGCGAAGAACCUUACCUGGUCUUGACAUCCACAGAACUUUCCAGAGAUGGAUUGGUGCCUUCGGGAACUGUGAGACAGGUGCUGCAUGGCAGUCGUCAGCUCGUGUUGUGAAAUGUUGGGUUAAGUCCCGCAACGAGCGCAACCCUUAUCCUUUGUUGCCAGCGGUUAGGCCGGGAACUCAAAGGAGACUGCCAGUGAUAAACUGGAGGAAGGUGGGGAUGACGUCAAGUCAUCAUGGCCCUUACGACCAGGGCUACACACCUGCUACAAUGGCGCAUACAAAGAGAAGCGACCCCCCGAGAGCAAGCGGACCUCAUAAAGUGCGUUGUAGUCCCGGAGUGAGUGUGCAACCCGAUUCCAUGAAGUGGGAAUCGCUGGUAAUUGUAGAAUCCAGUAAAUGCGUUGCUGAGCCUGGU
RNAcentral lists this ribosomal RNA (999 nucleotides) under Enterobacter cloacae. RNAcentral's name for it is "bacterial SSU rRNA". It matches the Rfam family "Bacterial small subunit ribosomal RNA", at positions 398 to 1384 of the family's 1533-position model. The record is from RNAcentral. Lineage: Bacteria; Pseudomonadati; Pseudomonadota; Gammaproteobacteria; Enterobacterales; Enterobacteriaceae.